This 576-nucleotide ribosomal RNA is filed under the name uncultured bacterium. RNAcentral describes it as "partial 16S ribosomal RNA". It matches the Rfam family "Bacterial small subunit ribosomal RNA", at positions 355 to 920 of the family's 1533-position model. The record is from RNAcentral.
UGGGGAAUAUUGCACAAUGGGCGCAAGCCUGAUGCAGCCAUGCCGCGUGUGUGAAGAAGGCCUUCGGGUUGUAAAGCACUUUCAGCGAGGAGGAAGGUGGUGAACUUAAUACGUUCAUCAAUUGACGUUACUCGCAGAAGAAGCACCGGCUAACUCCGUGCCAGCAGCCGCGGUAAUACGGAGGGUGCAAGCGUUAAUCGGAAUUACUGGGCGUAAAGCGCACGCAGGCGGUUUGUUAAGUCAGAUGUGAAAUCCCCGGGCUCAACCUGGGAACUGCAUUUGAAACUGGCAAGCUAGAGUCUCGUAGAGGGGGGUAGAAUUCCAGGUGUAGCGGUGAAAUGCGUAGAGAUCUGGAGGAAUACCGGUGGCGAAGGCGGCCCCCCUGGACGAAGACUGACGCUCAGGUGCGAAAGCGUGGGGCAGCAAACAGGAUUAGAUACCCUGGUAGUCCAGCGCUGUAAACGAUGUCGAUUUGGAGGUUGUGCCCUUGAGGCGUGGCUUCCGGAGCUAACGCGUUAAAUCGACCGCCUGGGGAGUACGGCCGCAAGGUUAAAACUUAAAUGAAUUGACGGGGUC